This 787-nucleotide long non-coding RNA is filed under the name Equus caballus (horse). RNAcentral describes it as "lncRNA (ENSECAG00000054771.1)". The record is from RNAcentral. Lineage: Eukaryota; Metazoa; Chordata; Mammalia; Perissodactyla; Equidae.
UGUUUGAGGAAAUGCAUUUAAACUUCAAGAGCAUCCUUAGCACUAAACCUCCUAACACUCACGAGAUCAAAUCCCAUCAGGCCCUUUUUCCUCCUUUUGUUCUAGAAGCAAAACCAAGGUAUAACACCUACACAGCUCCUUCCACCUAACCAAGGUUGACAGACGUCGUCGGGAGGCCAAACUCAAAGGCAGGGCGCAUGAAGCGGGAAAACACAGUGGGUGUAGGUGGCGGGAAGGAAAUCUGGGUCUGGAUUCUCAUGAGUUCCUUCCCUUCGAAGCUGUGUGACCUCACACAGGUCACGUCCCCUUUCUGGCCUGCACUGAGAAAUGAAACAAGAUGAUCAAAAUCCUUGGUACAGGGAUAUAAAGAUGUACAAAACAAUUCCUGGUCUCCAGGAGCUCCCAGAGAAGAGGUGUGUAAGUCAACAGAGGCAGCCCAGGGGAACAAAAUGCUUCAUGAGGGCUAUGUCGAGGACACACGGGUGGCAGGUGGAGAAGUGAACCACGCUUCGAGGGUGAGAGGAGAGCCCGAGGAAGUCUUCAUACAGAGGAAAUUCUUGUGCUCAGUGUUUAAAGAAACUUUAUCAUUAAGAUGUUCCUGCCAUGGAUGUCAGCACCAGCACAGAACUGGACCCCUGGCAUUAACUCCUGGUUGUGCCACUUACUCGGUGGCCUCACUGGACUGCGAGCUCCAUAUAAGCAUGCAUGUUUAUCUGAUUCUUAAUUUUAUUCCCAAUGCUUGGCAUUUACGAGAUGCUCAAAAUAUACUUGCUGAAUUGAAACCUCU